GCAAACUUGGUCAUUUAGAGGAAGUAAAAGUCGUAACAAGGUUUCCGUAGGUGAACCUGCGGAAGGAUCAUUAAUGAGUUUUGAACGAAGCUGUUCUGGUCUUUCGGGGCAAGUGAACGCUUCACUCAAUCCAUCUUACACCUGUGCACCUUUGGGGGGGAAAAAACGGGAAGAUUUCAGAAAGUUGGAUAACGACGGAAUGGGAUCUUCAAUGUUUUUUUCUCUUCUACCAAACAAAUUACAGUCUAUAGAAAGUCUUUUGCUUGAUGCAAAUAAAUAAUACAACUUUCAGCAACGGAUCUCUUGGCUCUCGCAUCGAUGAAGAACGCAGC
Molecule: unclassified non-coding RNA, 332 nt
Filed under: uncultured fungus
Lineage: Eukaryota; Fungi
Description: partial contains small subunit ribosomal RNA, internal transcribed spacer 1, and 5.8S ribosomal RNA
Rfam family: Eukaryotic small subunit ribosomal RNA (bases 1-73)
Source: RNAcentral